Molecule: ribosomal RNA, 879 nt
Filed under: uncultured bacterium
Lineage: Bacteria
Description: bacterial SSU rRNA
Rfam family: Bacterial small subunit ribosomal RNA
Source: RNAcentral
AGAGUUUGAUCAUGGCUCAGGAUGAACGCUGGCGGCGUGCCUAACACAUGCAAGUCGAGCGAUUCUCUUCGGAGAAGAGCGGCGGACGGGUGAGUAACGCGUGGGUAACCUGCCUCAUACACAUGGAUAACAUACCGAAAGGUAUGCUAAUACAAGAUGAUAUAAGAGAUUCGCAUGGAUUUCUUAUCAAAGCUCCGGCGGUAUGAGAUGGACCCGCGUCUGAUUAGCUAGUUGGUAAGGUAACGGCUUACCAAGGCGACGAUCAGUAGCCGACCUGAGAGGGUGAUCGGCCACAUUGGAACUGAGACACGGUCCAAACUCCUACGGGAGGCAGCAGUGGGGAAUAUUGCACAAUGGGCGAAAGCCUGAUGCAGCAACGCCGCGUGAGCGAUGAAGGCCUUCGGGUCGUAAAGCUCUGUCCUCAAGGAAGAUAAUGACGGUACUUGAGGAGGAAGCCCCGGCUAACUACGUGCCAGCAGCCGCGGUAAUACGUAGGGGGCUAGCGUUAUCCGGAUUUACUGGGCGUAGAGGGUGCGUAGGUGGUUUCUUAAGUCAGGAGUGAAAGGCUACGGCUCAACCGUAGUAAGCUCUUGAAACUGGGAAACUUGAGUGCAGGAGAGGAAAGUGGAAUUCCUAGUGUAGCGGUGAAAUGCGUAGAUAUUAGGAGGAACACCAGUAGCGAAGGCGGCUUUCUGGACUGUAACUGACACUGAGGCACGAAAGCGUGGGGAGCAAACAGGAUUAGAUACCCUGGUAGUCCACGCCGUAAACGAUGAGUACUAGGUGUCGGGGGUUACCCCCCUCGGUGCCGCAGCUAACGCAUUAAGUACUCCGCCUGGGGAGUACGCUCGCAAGAGUGAAACUCAAAGGAAUUGACGG